This 442-nucleotide ribosomal RNA is filed under the name uncultured bacterium. RNAcentral's name for it is "partial 16S ribosomal RNA". It matches the Rfam family "Bacterial small subunit ribosomal RNA", at positions 338 to 795 of the family's 1533-position model. The record is from RNAcentral.
CCUACGGGAGGCUGCAGUAGGGAAUCUUUCACAAUGGGCGAAAGCCUGAUGGAGCAAUGCCGCGUGCAGGAUGAAGGCCUUCGGGUUGUAAACUGCUUUUAUAAGCGAGAAAUAUGAUGGUAACUUAUGAAUAAGGAUCGGCUAACUACGUGCCAGCAGCAGCGGUCAUACGUAGGAUCCGAGCAUUAUCCGGAGUGACUGGGUGUAAAGAGUUGCGUAGGUGGCAUAAUAAGUAGCUAGUGAAAUCUGGUGGCUCAACCAUUCAGACUAUUAGCUAAACUGUUAAGCUCGAGACCGUUAGGGGUAACUGGAAUUUCUAGUGUAGGAGUGAAAUCCGUAGAUAUUAGAAGGAACACCAAUAGCGUAGGCAGGUUGCUGGGACGGUUCUGACACUAAGGCACGAAAGCGUAGGGAGCAAACGGGAUUAGAUACCCCUGUAGUC